UUUCCGUAGGUGAACCUGCGGAGGGAUCAUUACAGGACUCGCAAGACUCCCGUAAACCACUGUGAACCUACCAUUGUUGCCUCGGCAGAGCCUACCCGGUAACUGUUCGGAGAAGCUACCCUGUAGCUACCCUGUAACGGCCUACCCUGUAACGCACUGCCGGUGGACUUUUAAACUCUUGUUAUUUUAUAGUAAUCUGAGCGUCUUAUUUUAAUAAGUCAAAACUUUCAACAACGGAUCUCUUGGUUCUGGCAUCGAUGAAGAACGCAGC
This 271-nucleotide unclassified non-coding RNA is filed under the name uncultured fungus. RNAcentral's name for it is "sequence contains ITS1, 5.8S rRNA gene". The stretch from base 223 to 271 matches the Rfam family "5.8S ribosomal RNA", at positions 1 to 49 of the family's 154-position model. Lineage: Eukaryota; Fungi. The record is from RNAcentral.